CCCUUAGAUGUCCUGGGCCGCACGCGCGUUACACUGAUGCAUUCAACGAGCUUAUAACCUUGGCCGAGAGGCCUGGGCAAUCUUGUUAACGUGCAUCGUGAUAGGGAUAGAUUAUUGAAAUUAUUAAUCUUGAACGAGGAAUUCCUAGUAAACGCAGAUCAUCAAUCUGCAUUGAUUACGUCCCUGCCCUUUGUACACACCGCCCGUCGCACCUACCGAUUGGAUGGUCCGGUGAAGCCCCGGGAUUGUGGUUCUUGCCGCUUUAUUGUAGCGUGACCGCGAGAACUUGUCUAAACCUUAUCAUCUAGAGGAAGGUGAAGUCGUAACA
Molecule: ribosomal RNA, 328 nt
Filed under: uncultured eukaryote
Lineage: Eukaryota
Description: partial 18S ribosomal RNA
Rfam family: Eukaryotic small subunit ribosomal RNA
Source: RNAcentral